GACGAACGCUGGCGGCGUGCUUAACACAUGCAAGUCGAACGGAAAGGCCCUGCUUUUGUGGGGUGCUCGAGUGGCGAACGGGUGAGUAUCACGUGAGUAACCUGCCCUUGACUUUGGGAUAACUUCAGGAAACUGGGGCUAAUACCGGAUAGGAGCUCCUGCUGCAUGGUGGGGGUUGGAAAGUUUCGGCGGUUGGGGCUGGACGCGCGGCUUAUCAGCUUGUUGGUGGGGUAGUGGCUUACCAAGGCUUUGACGGGUAGCCGGCCUGAGAGGGUGACCGGCCACAUUGGGACUGAGAUACGGCCCAGACUCCUACGGGAGGCAGCAGUGGGGAAUAUUGCACAAUGGGCGGAAGCCUGAUGCAGAAACGCCGCGUGCGGGAUGACGGCCUUCGGGUUGUAAACCGCUUUCGCCUGUGACGAAGCGUGAGUGACGGUAAUGGGUAAAGAAGCACCGGCUAACUACGUG
This 468-nucleotide ribosomal RNA is filed under the name uncultured bacterium. Its description in RNAcentral is "partial 16S ribosomal RNA". It matches the Rfam family "Bacterial small subunit ribosomal RNA", at positions 28 to 507 of the family's 1533-position model. The record is from RNAcentral.